RNAcentral lists this long non-coding RNA (4619 nucleotides) under Triticum aestivum (bread wheat). RNAcentral describes it as "long non-coding RNA (TAES_LNC015381)". Lineage: Eukaryota; Viridiplantae; Streptophyta; Magnoliopsida; Poales; Poaceae. The record is from RNAcentral.
AGAUCUAUAAAAAAUACAAUCUCUUAUUAUGUUCCUUAUUAUUAUUGUUUUAGAAGGAAAUGGCAUCUGCCCCGGUUCAUUUCCUCAGAAACGAAACCAAACAGAGUACAGUUUAUUACAGCACGUGGGGGAAGAUUGCAUCAUGAACCCCGACAACAUUCAGGCUAGCAGGAAAUAGAAUAAAACGGGCUCUAAACCACCCGAGGGGGAGCCAAGUAUACAAGAGAGAACAAAUGGAUCUUUGGAGCACUUUUUUGUCAUCCCUCCAGGGCUACCAUGUUGUCUACACCUAUCCACCCUCCCGCUUUCCUCAUAGAGUAUUGCAGCCACAACUCCCUCUUCCUCAACCUGGCUCUGGCCAGAGCAGCAGUGGUGGUCUUCUGGCAACCUCCCAUAGAGAUGUUAUGAACCUCUCCACGAGCUCUUUUGCGCCGCCCUUGCACAAGAUCUUCCAUAGAUUGCAUAAACAUGCUAUCUUCUUCAAAAUCACCUGCACUCCCAUCCAGAUGGCAUUGUUAAAACAUAAAUCAUUUCUAUAUUCUCCAGAUAGCCAAGAGAGUAGAUGAGGUAAUCAAAUUGUCAGGUUGCAAUGAUUUAUUUUCCCCACAUUUUUGCCACAUUUUCCAAAGUGGCGAGGGGUACACACCCAGUAAUGGAAUGAAUAAUUCUCUAGAUUUCAGCAGCAACAUCACACUCAAAGAAGAGGUGAUUAGUUGUUUCAUAUUCACAUCAGAAUAGGCAACUAAUAUCAUUUAAUUGUUGUUUCUUACUUAAAUUCCCUCUAACUAACAACUUGUCAUGAGCCAAUAGCCACAAGAAAAUAUGAAUGUUAGGGGGCACAUGUAUCUGCCAAAUAUCAGGGAUAUUAACAAGGCUAAUGCCCCUAAAGUUAAUCAUGACAUACAUAGAUCUAACAAUAUAUUUACCAUUAGAUUCUAAUUUCCAAAUUAAUGCAUCAUCCUCAUCAGAUAAGCUGAUAGAUUGAGCAAUACUAACUAGAUCAAAACAGAGAUGCAACAGUCUAUUGUCCACACACCUCCUUAAUGUGAUCUUAAGAUUUACCUCAUCCCAAAGGUCAGCAAUGGGGAUAUUAUGCUCAUUAUAAAUACUAUAUAACUCCCAAAAUUGGGUGGCCAAGCUACAGGAUCCAAACCAAUGAUCCUCCCAAAAGUUUACUUUUCUCCCAUUUCCAAUUUUGCAUUGGAAACCUACUUUGGCAGCUUUAGCUGCCUAGAGUACACCUUUCCAAAAAGGAGAGGAGUUGUUAUCAGGGCAAGAGAAAAAAUAUUGGGAUUUCUAGUUCUAUAUUUGGAAUCAACAAUCUGCUUCCACAUCUCUUGGUCUCCCAACUGGUAUUUAUAAACCCAUGAGGCUAGCAGGCUUAGGUUCAUUUCAGCAAUGUUAGGUACACGUAAGCCACCCUAUUGCUUCUUCUAGGUAAGAAGCCCCCAAUUAGCUAGGUGGUACCUGUGAUGUCCCUCAAAUAUCCCAGAAGCGGUGAGCUAUCUGCGAAUUGAUCAUAUUAAUAGCCCACUUGGGGAAUUUGAUCAUACUCAUAAGAUAAGUAGGAAUACUAGUUAAACAAGCUUGGACCAACACUAGUUUCUUAUCAUAUCCUAAUAGCCUUCCUCCCCAUCCAGCAACUCUUUUUAAGACUUUUUCAACCACAGGUUGCAAGUCUUCUCUUCUGAGUUUUGAGUGGUGAAGAGUAAAUCUAAGAUAUUUAAGGGGAAAGGAUCCCAGAUCACAAGAUAAGCUCCACAUUCUAGGUCUCUUCCUCCUUAACAUUGAUAGGUAUUAUAUCACUUUAUGAAAGUUAAUCCUUAAGCCAGACAUUUGUUCAAAACAAGAAAGCAACAAUUUUAAAUUCUUAGCAGAUUCAAGGUUAUUUUCCAAAAACAGGAGAGUAUCAUCUGCAUACUACAAAGUAGUUAUCCCCUGAGGAAAAAUAUUAGGCAUCAACCCAGUUAACAUUUUGUUUUUAGCAACUUUAUUUAGCAUUCUGCUAAAUACAUCAACUACCAUGUUGAAAAGCAGAGGCGAGGAAGGAUCACCUGGUCUCACACCCUUAGAGGUCUCAAAAAAAUCACUACUAUAGUCAUUAAUUCUAACACCUACAGACACUUUAUAUAGAAGAGAUUCAAUCUUCUUCAUCCAUUUAAGGCUAAAUCCCCUCUGGUACAUCACAUCCAUAAGGAAUUGUUUACUAAUUCUAUCACAUGCCUUCUCAUAAUCAAGCUUAAAGACAAAACCUUCUUUGUCAUUAAUAACAACAUCAUUAAUAAUUUCAUGAGCUAUCACCACACUUUCCACUAUGAACCUGCCUUUAAUGAAGGCAAUUUUGUUUUGAGAAAUGAUCUCAUCACCAAUCUCCCCUAACUGAUUAGCAACACACUUAGCAAAAAAAUUGAAGCUACAAUUGGUCAGAGCAAUUGGCCUAAAUUUUUGAAUGGUACUAGCAUCAGGUUCUUUUUGGGAUCAAGGUUAAUAAAUAAAAGUUCAGCCUAUAUAGAUCUAAGGAGUCAUUGUUCCAGACAUCUACCAUAAACAUAAGAUCACUCUUAACAGUGGACAAAAAAUGUUGAUAAAAGAGGAAGGGGAAGCCAUUAGGGCCAGGAGCCCCUCAACAUAAGAUCCAAACACUGCUUUUUUAACAUCUUCUUCUGUUAUAUUGAUUUCCAACUUUAUAUUAUUUUCAUUGGAUACCCUUUUAGAAGGGUCACAAAAAUUAUCAUCUAAGGAUAUAUCUAGAGUAUCUUCUCUACCAAAUAAGUGCUUGCAGUAUUAUAUACAAUAACAAUUUUUUCAACAUCUUCAACGGGACCAUUUGGUCCAUUUAACAUGGAAAUCAGCUUCUUCCUCCUUCUUUGAUUAGCCAAAGCAUGGAAGUAAGCAUUAUUUCUCCAUCCUUCUAAGAUAUUUCUCUCUCUGGAUCUUUGUCUAGACUUAAUCUCCUCCAAUCUUCGGAUAUUUUGGAGGUCUAGAGCUAUUUUAUCCAUAUGAGCCUUGGAAGGUGGGGAUAACACCUUUGUUUCAGAUUCAAUGUCUAAUAGAUCAUACUCAGCAACCAACUGUUGUUUGGUUCUGUUUUGGGCAGCCUCAUAAUUGGCAUUCCAACCCCUACACACUUUCCUCAGUAUUCUAAUCUUGAAUUGCCACCUAUCUAAAGGGUCUUUAAUAGAGCAAGGAGUAUUCCAACAUUUCUUAACCAUAUCCUCAAAACCCUUUACCUCCAACCACCAUUUUUCAAACCCGAAUUGCUUGUUUUUUGGUAGUUGGAUAUAUCCAUAUCAAAAACUAGAGGGGCAUGAUCACUACCCAUCCUAGGGAGGGAUUUAAGUUUGAUAGAAGGGAAUAUAAUUUCCUAGCAGGUAGAAAUAAAAAACUUUAUCAAUGUUAGCCAUCACUAGAUUAUCCUGGUUAUUGGCCCAAGUAAACUUCCUACCAGAAUUUUUGAUUCAAUUAGACCAUAUUUGUUAACCCAAUCAUUGAAUAGGCUUACCCAAUGAAAGUUAACCACCCCAGUAUUUUUCUCCUCACUACUCCUAAGUAGGUUGAAGUCACCUCCAAUAAUAGUGGGACCCAACCAAGCAUCCAUACUAUUAUGGAGCUCAUUGAUAAAUUCAAGGUUGGAGUUAUCAUAUGCUAAACCAUAUACAACUACAAAUCUCCAAGUUUUCUUAUUCUUCUUAUCCUUAAGCAGACAAGUGACAAAAAAUUCUAAGGUAUCAACAGAGAUAAUUUGAAAUUCCUCAUGUUUAAUACCAACCAAGAUACCCCUGCUAUACCGUUAGCUGGUAGCCAGUGCCAGGAGAAAAUAUCUUGUGGGUCAAUGUUAGCAAGUUGUAUACUACAAAAUGAAUAUCUCUUAGACUCAGAAAAACCUACCAAAUCAGCUUGGGUGUCUCUAAUUAGUUGACCCACUGCCUCAAGUUUUCAGGCUUAUUAAGCCCCCUAACAUUCCAAAAUAGGCCUACUACCAUUAUUAAAAUCUAGUUUUCUACAACUACUUUUUUACCUGAAACUACAUCAACCUAUGUAGGUAUAUCAACAUGGUAGCCACAACUGUGGGCACACCCUUAUUCUACAUUGCCUGAAUGAGCGUUACUAAAUUCAUUAGCACUGGUAUCUAUGUUAUCAGGAAGAGAACACUCUGGAUGCGAAUCUUGAAAGGCAGAUAACCCAUUGUCCUCUACCAGCCUAAUGGCAUGGAUAUUAUGAGAUACAAUAUCUUCAUCAUUGCCUAAAUUCGGACCAGCUUUUUUGGCUUUCAACAUUAAUGCAUCAUCAUUAAAUGUAGAAAAGGAAUUAGAGUUUCUAUUACCUUUAGGUAUCUCCAGGUCUUUGAGCUUUCUGAGAUCUUCAACCUUUUGUAUGGUAGUUCUCCCAUCUCUUCUAAUUCUAGCACCCACCCUGGCGCCACCACAGGGCCCAAUUUUUGGCCUUGUCUAAAGGAUGUGGAAGCUGCUGGGUUGGAGCCUCUAAGAUUGUGGCCUCCCCAUCAGACUCCGCAUCAAACUGCUCAAGUAACCGAGUACCAAUGUUCUCAGUAGGCUGUUUUUGCUGCACAUCUUUCUUUGCAUUGCUAGCUUCACUCAGACCUAAGAUAACACUUUGCA